Molecule: long non-coding RNA, 929 nt
Organism: Bradysia coprophila
Lineage: Eukaryota; Metazoa; Arthropoda; Insecta; Diptera; Sciaridae
Source: RefSeq, a predicted model, not a curated record
UCAAAGGAAGUCGAAAGUAUUUUGUUGGUUGGAAAGAAAACUCUAAUGGCUGGCUUUACAGCCAGACAUUGGAUUUUAUUCUCAAUCGAAUGGUACUCGCGACCAAAGUACUUGCCCGUAUCGUGGUUGGAAAGCAUCUAAUUUCCAGUCAUUACAAACCAGAUGCACUCUCAAUUGAUCAUCAGAGGACCUUCAAUGAAGAUGAACGCUUCGAAUUUAGUCGGAGUUGUAACUUACAACUUGUAAGAAUAAAAAUAAUUUAAAAAUGAAAAAAAUACAAAAAAUUCUCUACGAUCAAGUUGAUGGUUUGAUAUAUUACUUAACAUCGAACAUUGAACAUCUAACAGCCAACAUCUAACAUCCAACAUUGAACAUCAAACAUCGAAUACAUUCAACAUCUAUAUGUGUGCUAGGGUAACGAGUGUAAUACUUAAGCUAAGCUAAUUGUGAGUUUUAUGCGUAUACAGCAGGAAAUGUCUUACUAUAUUUUACGAUUAAUGCUAAAACUCGUAUCAACUUGAAAGUUGGGUAACAUCGAAAGCCUUGGCAAUAUUGAUAUGUCUCAUGAAUUUGUAGGGGGCUACACUACAAGUCAAUCAUUGACACAUUAAUUUUGCCGCGAAAUCAGAUGUUACCAUCGAGAAUUUCCCCCAGAGUCGAUUCUCACACUGUCUAACCAUUUAAGAUAGCACGAGAUUCGAACCCGGGUCCCUAUGUACACGAAGCGAGUGUUUUACCACUGCGCCACGGAACUAGGUGCUCGAUCAUUUUUAAAACUUCCACAUUUGAAAACUAUACUUUCAAGUGGGGUUACAUUAAAUUGCAAUGGAAAUAAUUGCUAAAUGUUUAUUAAUAAGCAUGUGGAUAUGUGGCAAUUAAUUAAAUUCUUCGUUUGAUCAAGUUUUAUUUAAAAAAAAAAAUGAAAAAAA